This is a non-coding RNA of Schistosoma mansoni, 44 nucleotides long. Lineage: Eukaryota; Metazoa; Platyhelminthes; Trematoda; Strigeidida; Schistosomatidae. The record is from Rfam.
AUCCAGCUGACGAGUCCAAAAUAGGAUGAAACGGAGUCCUGAAU